Molecule: ribosomal RNA, 859 nt
Filed under: uncultured Gammaproteobacteria bacterium
Lineage: Bacteria; Pseudomonadati; Pseudomonadota; Gammaproteobacteria
Description: bacterial SSU rRNA
Rfam family: Bacterial small subunit ribosomal RNA
Source: RNAcentral
AAGUCGAACGUGAAAGCACUUCGGUGUGAGUAGAGUGGCGGACGGGUGAGUAACGCGUGGGAAUCUGCCCAGUAGUGGGGGACAACUACCGGAAACGGUAGCUAAUACCGCAUACGCCCUAUGGGGGAAAGGCUUCGGCCGCUAUUGGAUGAGCCCGCGUCAGAUUAGCUAGUUGGUAGGGUAAAGGCCUACCAAGGCAACGAUCUGUAGCUGGUCUGAGAGGACGAACAGCCACACUGGAACUGAGACACGGCCCAGACUCCUACGGGAGGCAGCAGUGGGGAAUAUUGGACAAUGGGCGAAAGCCUGAUCCAGCAAUGCCGCGUGUGUGAAGAAGGCCUGCGGGUUGUAAAGCACUUUCAGUUGGGAAGAUGAUGACGUUACCAACAGAAGAAGCACCGGCUAAAUCCGUGCCAGCAGCCGCGGUAAUACGGAUGGUGCGAGCGUUAAUCGGAAUUACUGGGCGUAAAGCGCGCGUAGGCGGCUAAGUCAGUCAGAAGUGAAAGCCCCGGGCUCAACCUGGGAAUUGCUUUUGAUACUGCUUGGCUAGAGUUUGGUAGAGGAUAGUGGAAUUCCAGGUGUAGCGGUGAAAUGCGUAGAUAUCUGGAGGAACAUCAGUGGCGAAGGCGACUGUCUGGACCAAAACUGACGCUGAGGUGCGAAAGCGUGGGUAGCAAACAGGAUUAGAUACCCUGGUAGUCCACGCCGUAAACGAUGUCAACUAGCCGUCGGGUCUAUUUACAGACUUGGUGGCGCAGCUAACGCGAUAAGUUGACCGCCUGGGGAGUACGGCCGCAAGGUUAAAACUCAAAGGAAUUGACGGGGGCCCGCACAAGCGGUGGAGCAUGUGGUUUAAUUC